This is a long non-coding RNA of Astyanax mexicanus (Mexican tetra), 1971 nucleotides long. RefSeq lists it as uncharacterized. The transcript is spliced from 2 exons. Lineage: Eukaryota; Metazoa; Chordata; Actinopteri; Characiformes; Acestrorhamphidae. The record is from RefSeq and is a predicted model, not a curated record.
AUUACAUAAUGGGCGGUUUCCCAAACGGAGAUUAAGCCUAGAUUUGAAUUAAAUAUUAAUUUAAGUUAGAAAUCUUUAUUUAAAAUGUUAUGUUGUCCAAGACCAGGAGUAACCUCGGGGAAACCGCAAGUAACCUAAGUUACGAAUCAACUGAAUCUGUUACUGCUCAAUUAUUUAUUUACAAAGUCACCAAUUCUUUUUCAGCACCAUGGCCAGAGUCAUGUUAAACUAAAAAGUUGAGAGAGAGAGAGAGAGAGAGAGAGAGAGAGAGAAAGAGCGCAAACAUCAUCUUUGAGAACGCUUUUUGAACUAAAAAGGCUACUGCGUUAAAUGUAUUUAAAGAGAAGUGUUUUUCGCCAAACACUGUCUAUUUUUAUACUGGUAAAAAUGGCAGGAUAAAAACUGGAAAAAAACUUUAGUCUUUAGUUUUUAGCAGAUAUUCUUAUCCGACUUUAACCAUCCAUGAAGUCCGACAUCCAAAUCCAUAGAACAGUAAAUAAGUCUAAUGAUGAACAUUUGAUCAGAAUAAUAAACCCUGCAAAUUACUAUUUAAUCAUAGCACAAGCUACAAGACAACCUUAUUCUCUAUUCUCGUUCUGGAAACCCAGAUGGAAUGCGGUAUAUGCCUUUAACCAGUCCAUCCAUUUAACACACUUAGCACAGACAGCGAGCAUACAUGCUCAGAGUGGUGGGCAGCCGACGAGUGGCGAGGGCCUUGCUCAAGGGCCCACGGGUGCCAGCUUGCCGAACCCGAGUAUGGAACCCGAAAUGUAUUCUCUAAACAUGCAUUUUCUUUACAACAAUAAUGUACAGCUAUGUGUCUGCACUGAGGUCUGAUGCUGAAGCAAGGGCGUAAGAGUGGGUUUGACAUUGAAGUUUCCUAUCCAGCGAUGUAAAGUAAAUAAGUAGAACUCGUUCACUACUUAAGUACUAAAAAGCUGUAUUUGUCUCUACUUAACUUUUUUCUCCUUCUUACACGUUUCCUUCACUACAUAUUUUGGAUGAGUUUAAUAUUUUUACUACGAUACAUUUUUAUGUGCUGCACCGUUAGUCAUUAUAAUUAUAAAAAUAUUAGGAAUCAUUUCAAACCCACAUUAGCUCUAAAGCCAGUGCGGUAGAUGGCACUGUCACCGGGUUUGAUGAAGCUCAUUAUCAUUAAACGAAUCAAGCUGAAUACUGUGGUGCAAAAAGAACGCUUCAGCUUCUACUUAAGUCACUAAAUAGAGCACUUUACUUCUACAUGUAGGCUAUAUUUUUUUUACUUUGGCUCUCACUUACUGUUAGCGAUUAUUUUUAUGAAAGUAGCUGCAGUGCAGCUGUACGCUUGUUUUAACAUAACUGGCUAGAGAGUCUGAAAAUUCGAGAGACAGAGUUAGGAGAUGAUCGUCGCUGCAGAACCACAAGUGCAGGGGUUGGGGCUGAAUCUGAUCCAACUCCUCCUACAUCGUGGUUUUAUUGGUCUGAAGAAGGUCCCCACCCUAACCCUAACCCUUGGACUUAUGGGAGGAGUUAUAUCAAAUCCAGCCCCACCCCUGGACUUGUGGCUCUAAAGCGAGUGGUAUUUGUGGAAGUUAGCAACACUCCUCUCAACACUAGCCUUAACAACGUGAAAGAAAGACCCAGCGUGAUUUGCUCCCAAACGUGCUUUCAAAAUAAAAGUUUUUUUAAACCGUUUCUGCGGUUUUUGGGUGUGGCAAAUUUACUACCUGGGGCAAAUUUACUACCGUUUCUACCUGUUUCUGAAUUUCUUACCCCAAUACAUUGAAGGAUGUUGUCUCACCUCUCUGAAGUGGACCAAAGUGACACGGCACUAUGUAUCUGCAGUAGGUUGCCCUGAGAAUUCUCAAACUCAACAUUGCCUAGAUGGGGUGAACUAUCGGUUCUAUUUUCCCUCCAUCUUUUCUUUUUUCAUUUUUUUUGUGCAUUAAAAAUAAAGUUUUGAGUUCCAAUAGCUGCCAAUAGCUCUAAAAA